AUGUGGAGUGUUCUGGGCUGCCGGUUUUUCUAAUUAAGUGCUACAAUAGGAUUCCAAGAAUUUUCAAAUAUUUAUAAAUAAUUACACCUGUAAACUUCAACCCCUGUGGGAAGUUGGUAUUUAAUAUAAACGACCAAGUUCCAUACUUACUUGUUACUAAAUAAGUAACCAUAUAAACAAAGCAAUAAUUGUUAAUUUUGGUUUAUUUGGUGAUAAAAUUCUUUCGGUGUUAACCUACUUAAAGUCAAUUUUUAUCAAACGAGAAAGGAAUUUAUGAACCAUUUUUCCACUUUUCGAUUAACCUGUGAGGCUUACAAAAUCUACCUGUGUUAAUACCCACACGAAAAACGAGUAACUUUUUCGUUCAUUCUUAAGAUUAGUCUCCAUAGCAGUUUAGUAAUAAUUAAAAAAUCCUAAAUUCCGUGAAAUAUUUAAGUCAAAUUUUAUACAGUGCUACACGUACAUAUUUAACUAUUUAAGUAAUAAUUUAUAUGUUUGUCUUGACGAGUGACGCUGUGCAGGAUCGAAAGAUUCCGGAAACCACGUAACCAUGGAUUUCAAAUUAGAGAAGAAAUGUUCCAAUCGGUUAAAAACAUUUAAAACUAAACUCCCCUUGAACGCGCAUCUUGUACAUGAACCCGACGCGAAGGUAAAAUGCAAGAUUGGCGGGGAAAUUUCGAAAAACCCCACCGCCUCGUCUCUCCACAUGAGACAACUUCACAUCGCGCGGGAACGACAAACGAAUUUGCCAUAAGGAAUUUUCCACCGCAAAGACUUUAAGGAGACAUCUUGACACCGUCCACGGCACGAUGGGAGAACGACCCCGUUGGCCAUGUACAUUUCCAGGCUGUGGAAAAAUUUACUUAAGUAAAUGGAAUCUCUCCGCCCACGUGACAAAGGACCAUUCCCAAAACGCGGCCCGAUUUCCUUGCACACUUUGCGAGAAGGAAUUUAAAACCAGGUACAACCUUGAGAGACACAUUUCCACUCACACGACCGAGAAAACGUACAAGUGUGCCACGUGUGGGAGGAGUUUCGCACAAAUGGAUACCUUAAAACUUCACGAGCUUGAAUGAACAGAUGUCCCAUCUUGACAAGGAUGCCCGGCCGGUGUUACGCUGUCACCUUUGCCCCGCGAAUUUCUACAGUCGACCCGGGUUAUAUUUGCAUAUUAAGGCUACCCAUGAAAAUCGGAGGAAUUAUUCGUGCACAUUUUGUGCCAAGAAAUUCGCCGUGUCAUUCAGUUUGAAAUGUCACGUGGAUGCGAGACACCCUGAGAAUAAGGAGAUAAUUAAUUUCUGUGACCAAUGCGAGUACAAAAGUCACUCGAAAUACAAUUUAUACAAGCAUAAGAGUCCACCAUAUUGCGAAUCGACCCCAAUGUUACUUCUGCAAAAAAUCUUUUUCCAGCUUUCUGGAUUUGGUCAACCACUGCAGUCGACUGCACACGCGCGAGAAGUCAAAAUAGAGAAAUGUGUCUUCAUGGUCAUUCUCGCAUCGAUUAAAACUUAUGCAUUUUUUGGUGUUUGAAUGCACGUUAUUAUGAAAUACUGAAAUAGGUACAUGAAUGCAACGUAAUAUGUAUUUAAGAUAGCUAUAUACAAACAGUUUGCGAAAUUUUCGCCUUCCAAGGAUUUUGUUAUGAUAGCUUAAAAUUUUCGUGAUUUUGUGUACACAAAGAAUCUGUAAUAAUAUUAGGGUGGCCCCGUGGCAGUUUUCGAGAUACGAACAAAAAUAUGUGGAUUUUUUGAAAAUUCUGAGAAAUUAAAUUUUUUAUGUACAAGGUGAAGUUUUUAGUUGGUUCUUUCUCGAUAAAUAACCCAAACAUAUUGUUGCACGCAUGCUAUAAACUCAAUUUUGUAAUUCCCAUUUCCGUAAUAUAUAACAAUUCUAUAUUACGGAACUUAUCUACUUACUAAAGUAUAUAACAAUUAUCCGUAAUAUGUGUAACAAUUUUUUUACAUCCCACAUGCAAUUUUCCUUUUUUGCUUCGCUCCCCGUCUGGAAAUUCUCCACACAGACGUUGCCACUCAUAAUACUGUAUCUGGGCUACUACCAUACCUAGCAAACUGCCAAAUUCUUCCCAAUGUGUGAGCUAAAUCGAGCAAUUUUAAAGCGUAUAAUUAUUCAUGCUCACCACUGUAUGCUGCCCGAACUUACAGAAUCAUGGCCAUGAAAACAAGAGGUAACAACUCCUCGAAAUACUGACAUGUGUAUGCGAAUAAACAACUUUAAGAAAUUACUUUACGACAUGAUGCAUCAAACCAUGCAACU
Folsomia candida is the source of this 2274-nucleotide long non-coding RNA. RefSeq lists it as uncharacterized. The record is from RefSeq and is a predicted model, not a curated record. NCBI's taxonomy places the organism in Eukaryota, Metazoa, Arthropoda, Collembola, Entomobryomorpha, Isotomidae. The transcript has 3 exons.